Molecule: ribosomal RNA, 508 nt
Filed under: Parachauliodes japonicus
Lineage: Eukaryota; Metazoa; Arthropoda; Insecta; Megaloptera; Corydalidae
Description: partial large subunit ribosomal RNA
Rfam family: Bacterial large subunit ribosomal RNA (bases 387-508)
Source: RNAcentral
GUCUUUUUGAUUAUAAUUUAAAGUCUAACCUGCCCACUGAAUUUUUUGAAGGGCCGCGGUAUUUUGACUGUGCAAAGGUAGCAUAAUCAUUAGUCUUUUAAUUGGAGGCUUGUAUGAAUGGUUGGAUGAGGUAUUAACUGUCUCAAUUUAAUAAGUAAUAGAAUUUUAUUUUUAAGUUAAAAAGCUUAAAUUUAAUUAAAAGACGAGAAGACCCUAUAGAUCUUUAUAAUUUAUUUUAUAAUAAUUUUUUAGAUAAAAUUUAUUUUUAUAUAAUUAAUUAUUUUAUUGGGGUGAUAAAAAAAUUUAUAAAACUUUUUUUGUGUAUAAACAGUGAUAUUUGGUUAAUUGAUCCAUUUUUUGUGAUUAUAAGAUUAAGUUACCUUAGGGAUAACAGCGUAAUUUUUUUGGAGAGUUCUUAUCGAUAAAAAAGAUUGCGACCUCGAUGUUGAAUUAAAGGUUAAUUUUAGGUGUAGAAGUUUAAAAUUUUGGUCUGUUCGACCAUUAAAUC